RNAcentral lists this long non-coding RNA (510 nucleotides) under Gallus gallus (chicken). Lineage: Eukaryota; Metazoa; Chordata; Aves; Galliformes; Phasianidae. The record is from RNAcentral.
GGUAAUAAUCUGCCCCCCCCCCCACCUUUACUUUUAUUAUCCAAAGAUUGAAGGCUGAGGGGGGGGUAAUCACCGCCCCCCCCCCAGUUCAUUUGUAUUAUCCAAAGACUGAGAGCGGUUCUGCGGUUCUGCUCAGUGCAGCUCACGGAGGGGGGGGGGGGAAGAGGGGGAGGAGGGGGUGGUCUCAUUUUGGGGCCUUUUUGCCCUUCUUUUUGGGGGGGGGCGGAGGGGCGGCCCCCACCAUCGUCAGCUUUUUGGGGAGGGCAGCGGAGGCCUUCAGGGCGACCUCCCGUUCAAUGCGGAGCCGAAUGCCGACCUCCAACGUCUCCUUUCCUCGGCCCCUUCGCCCCCCCCCUUUCCGCCGCCGCCGCUCUCCGCGGUUUCUUCUCCGCCGCUUUCGGUCUCCCUUGCGCCAUGACAGCACUUCCGGUUUGGCGAAGAGGAAGCGGAAGCAGGGACAUUUGAACAGGAAGCGUAAGGCACGACGGGAUGCAGCGAGGCGGAAGUGGG